Molecule: non-coding RNA, 513 nt
Organism: Suricata suricatta (meerkat)
Lineage: Eukaryota; Metazoa; Chordata; Mammalia; Carnivora; Herpestidae
Source: the annotation of a RefSeq genome assembly
UUCCAUUCUGUGAUCAGGAAAGAACACAGACAUCCCACUAUGGAGUUUGUGCUUGGCUGGGUUUUCCUUGUUGCUGUUCUAAAAGGUGUCCAGUGUGAAGUGCAGCUGGUGGAGUCUGGGGGAGGCCUGGCGAAGCCUGGGGGCUCCCUGCGACUCUCCUGUGCAGCCUCCGGAUUCAACUUUGGAAGCUACCACAUGAGCGGGGUCCGCCAGGCUCCAGAGAAGGGGCUGGAGUGGAUUUCAUAUAUUAGUGAUGGUGAAAGUAGCACAAGCUAUGCGGACUCCAUGAAGGGCCGAUUCACCAUCUCCAGAGACAACGCCAAGAACACGCUCUCUCUGCAGAUGAACAACCUGAGAGUCGAGGACACGGCCAUGUAUUUCUGUGCGAGAGACACAGGUCCACACAGAGGAGAAAUCUGUUACGUUUGUGAGGAGUGUGGCAAGGGCUUCCAUCAGAGCUCCAACCUUUGCAUCCAUCAGAGCGUCCACACCGGAGAGAAACUACAGAUGUGA